Molecule: ribosomal RNA, 446 nt
Filed under: uncultured bacterium
Lineage: Bacteria
Description: bacterial SSU rRNA
Rfam family: Bacterial small subunit ribosomal RNA
Source: RNAcentral
UAAGGGAUAUUGGUCAAUGGGGGGCGGGAGCCUGAACCAGCCAUGCCGCGUGAGGGAAUGAGGCCCUACGGGUCGUAAACCUCUUUUGCCGGGGGAUAACGGGCGCCACGUGUGGCGCCGUGAAGGUACCCGGAGAAUAAGCAUCGGCUAACUCCGUGCCAGCAGCCGCGGUAAUACGGAGGAUGCAAGCGUUAUCCGGAUUUAUUGGGUUUAAAGGGUGCGUAGGCUGUUUGACAAGUCAGUGGUGAAAGCCCGGGGCUUAACUCCGGAACUGCCGUUGAUACUGUUGAGCUGGAAUACGGAUGCCGUGGGAGGAAUGAGUAGUGUAGCGGUGAAAUGCAUAGAUAUUACUCAGAACACCGAUUGCGAAGGCAUCUCACGAAUCCGUCAUUGACGCUGAGGCACGAAAGCGUGGGGGAUCAAACAGGAUUAGAUACCCUGGUAGU